RNAcentral lists this long non-coding RNA (814 nucleotides) under Pan troglodytes (chimpanzee). Its description in RNAcentral is "long non-coding RNA NONPTRT006820". Lineage: Eukaryota; Metazoa; Chordata; Mammalia; Primates; Hominidae. The record is from RNAcentral.
GUGAUGACAGAGGCAAAGAUUGGAGUGGUGCAUCAACAAGACAGGGAGCAUCAAGAAUUGCUAACAAACACCAGAAGCUAAAAAAGACAAGGAAGGAUUCUCCUCUGUGGUUUUCAGGGCCCUGUGGACACCUUGAUUUGGACUUUUAGGUUCCAGAACUCUGAGACAAUACAUUUCUGUUGUUUUAAGCCCCCAGUUUGUGGUUCUUUGUUGCAGCAGCCCUAGCAAGUUAGCGCAGAUGUAUCACUCCCACCUCCCUUCAGACAUGCUGUCUAUCUUCCUCUUACUCAACACGUCAAGCUCACUUUCUCUAGAGGCCUUUAUUUUAGUGGUUCUCUCCCUCCGGAAAAAUGUGUGUUACCUUGGUGUUCACAGGCUGGAUCCUCUUUGCCAUUCAGAUGGCAGCUUGCACGUCGCCUCUUCAGAAAGGACAUCUCUGAGCAUCAAAACUAAUGUGGCGUCACAUAAUGAGAGAAUGAAUGAGUGGCUAAAACUGAGAGUCAUAGCCUAAAAGAGGUAGAGAUGGGUAGUUGAGGAAUGGACCUCAUGGUAGUGAUGUAGGGAAACAGGGGAAGCAGGAGGUUGAAAUCACCUAGUCAAGGACCACCCCCUCUUUUUCUAGAGAUGGGGGUCUCACUCUGUCACCCAGGCUGGAGUACACUGGCAUGAUCAGUGGACUGAUAUUCCAUGAAUAUUUUUUGAAUGAAGGUAUCAGUUAAAAAAAAGAAAAGAUAUCUGCCAAAGUGAAGCUGGUUUGAGUGACUGGACCAUAGGGAAUAGGCUGUGAAUAAUUCGACUGGGUCUUGAGAUGGAG